AACGAACGCUGGCGGCAUGCCUAACACAUGCAAGUCGAACGAGACCUUCGGGUCUAGUGGCGCACGGGUGCGUAACGCGUGGGAAUCUACCCUCAGGUUCGGAAUAACUCAGAGAAAUUUGAGCUAAUACCGGAUGAUGACGUAAGUCCGAAGAUUUAUCGCCUGAGGAUGAGCCCGCUUAGGAUUAGGUAGUUGGUGAGGUAAAGGCUCACCAAGCCGACGAUCCUUAGCUGGUCUGAGAGGAUGAUCAGCCACACUGGGACUGAGACACGGCCCAGACUCCUACGGGAGGCAGCAGUGGGGAAUAUUGGACAAUGGGCGAAAGCCUGAUCCAGCAAUGCCGCGUGAGUGAUGAAGGCCUUAGGGUUGUAAAGCUCUUUUACCCGGGAUGAUAAUGACAGUACCGGGAGAAUAAGCUCCGGCUAACUCCGUG
This 433-nucleotide ribosomal RNA is filed under the name uncultured bacterium. RNAcentral describes it as "partial 16S ribosomal RNA". It matches the Rfam family "Bacterial small subunit ribosomal RNA", at positions 29 to 507 of the family's 1533-position model. The record is from RNAcentral.